GAACUCGGCAGAUGGCUCUAAGAGAGAGCGGGACAGAUGAAUUGAGGUACAUCGCAAUGAAAGCUACAGAGGUGUAUUCAUCCACAUGGGGAUGAACUCGCUGUGAAACAGCAGAGAAGAAGAGAUGGUAAUGAACCAAGAAGUCCAAAACGGACGGCGAAAAACAUGUACCCAGCAUCAAAGUUAAUUAUUAGUAGUAUCCUGCACAAAAGAUCGCAAAGCUGAAGGCCAUGAAGUAGAUAGUGUGAAGGAAUUCUGACACCUUGAAAGCAAAAUAACACGUAGCAGAUGAAAUAAGGAGAAAGUAUAAAACAUAAAGGUAGACUAGUCUAAGGUAAUCAUUUCUGGCCAAAGGAAGUCUGCUAGUAUCAGUUCUGAGUGAGUAUGUGUGGAGUGCAGUGUUAUAUGGAAAUGAAUCAUGGGCUGUGGGAAAACUGGUGUUUGAGGUAGGGUGCUAUAGAAAGAUAUUAGAUGGAGUGAUAAGAUUAAAACAUGAGAAGGUUGCCUGGAGAACUGGUGAGGAGAGGAACAUGUGGCAAACACUGACAGCAAGAAGGUAUAAGAUGGUGGGACCUGUGUUAAGACAUCCAACAAAUCAUUGAGGACAAUUGGUGUUAAGUGCCACUUUGAGAUGAAGAAGUUGAUACAGGAGAGGAAUUUUGCAGCAGGUCACACAUCAAACCUCUCAAAAGACCGAUGUCUCAUCUGCUUCCUGCAAAGAACAGAAGGUCCCUACAAUUUCUGACAUACAGGUAUUUGUAAGAGUUGUCUGGUUCCA
Molecule: long non-coding RNA, 778 nt
Organism: Schistocerca gregaria
Lineage: Eukaryota; Metazoa; Arthropoda; Insecta; Orthoptera; Acrididae
Exons: 3
Source: RefSeq, a predicted model, not a curated record